CGGGACACGUGGUAUCCUGUCUGAAUAUGGGGGGACCAUCCUCCAAGGCUAAAUACUCCUGACUGACCGAUAGUGAACCAGUACCGUGAGGGAAAGGCGAAAAGAACCCCGGCGAGGGGAGUGAAAAAGAACCUGAAACCGUGUACGUACAAGCAGUGGGAGCCUCUUAAUGGGGUGACUGCGUACCUUUUGUAUAAUGGGUCAGCGACUUAUAUUCUGUAGCAAGGUUAACCGAAUAGGGGAGCCGAAGGGAAACCGAGUCUUAACUGGGCGUUAAGUUGCAGGGUAUAGACCCGAAACCCGGUGAUCUAGCCAUGGGCAGGUUGAAGGUUGGGUAACACUAACUGGAGGACCGAACCGACUAAUGUUGAAAAAUUAGCGGAUGACUUGUGGCUGGGGGUGAAAGGCCAAUCAAACCGGGAGAUAGCUGGUUCUCCCCGAAAGCUAUUUAGGUAGCGCCUCGUGAAUUCAUCUCCGGGGGUAGAGCACUGUUUCGGCAAGGGGGUCAUCCCGACUUACCAACCCGAUGCAAACUGCGAAUACCGGAGAAUGUUAUCACGGGAGACACACGGCGGGUGCUAACGUCCGUCGUGAAGAGGGAAACAACCCAGACCGCCAGCUAAGGUCCCAAAGUCAUGGUUAAGUGGGAAACGAUGUGGGAAGGCCCAGACAGCCAGGAUGUUGGCUUAGAAGCAGCCAUCAUUUAAAGAAAGCGUAAUAGCUCACUGGUCGAGUCGGCCUGCGCGGAAGAUGUAACGGGGCUAAACCAUGCACCGAAGCUGCGGCAGCGACACUAUGUGUUGUUGGGUAGGGGAGCGUUCUGUAAGCCUGUGAAGGUGUACUGUGAGGUAUGCUGGAGGUAUCAGAAGUGC
Molecule: ribosomal RNA, 872 nt
Filed under: Escherichia coli
Lineage: Bacteria; Pseudomonadati; Pseudomonadota; Gammaproteobacteria; Enterobacterales; Enterobacteriaceae
Description: partial 23S ribosomal RNA
Rfam family: Bacterial large subunit ribosomal RNA
Source: RNAcentral